GCCACCUCGAGUUCAAGUAGACGACGCAGUGGUGAACUACGAGUGUGCUACCUAACAUUACCACGUACCACCAUGGUGCAUCAAGCUCAGGGCCUGCUCGUGCAGGAGGUGGCCGCCGACGGGGAGCUGCCGAGCCGCUACGUGCUCAAGGAGCAGCAGGGCCGCCCGGCCGCGGCCGCACAGCGUGCCGCUCCGUCCAUCCCCACCGUGGACGUGGGCCGCCUUGCCAACGCCGACCCCGGCGAGGCCGACAGGCUCCGGUCGGCGCUCGGCUCCUGGGGCCUCUUCGCGGUGACCGGCCACGGCAUGACGGACCCGUUCCUCGACGCGAUCCUCGGCGCGGCGCGGGGGUUCUUCCACCUGCCGACGGAGGCGAAGCAGGAGUACAGCAACGUGGUCGACGCCGACGACGGCGGCCGCAAGUUCCAGCCCGAGGGCUACGGCGUCGACCGCGUCGACACCGACGAGCAGGUCCUCGACUGGUGCGACCGGCUCUACCUCCAGAUCCGGCCGGAUGACGCGCGGCAGCUCCGCUUCUGGCCGACCCACCCGCCGGACCUCGCCGAGCUCCUCAAAGAGUUCAGCGUCGAGGGCGAGAAGGUGGCCAAGCUCGUCGUCACGGCCAUGGCGAGGUGCCUGGGCUUCGAGGAUGGGUUCUUCGUGGACAAGGUCGGCGAGCGGAUGCCGUCGUACGCGCGGUUCACCUACUACCCGCCCUGCCCGCGCCCGGACCUCGUGCACGGGCUCAAGCCCCACACCGACAACUCCGUGGUCACCGUGCUCCUCCUCGACGAGCAGGUCGGCGGCCUCCAGGUUCUGAAGGACGGCAGCUGGGUCGACGUGCCCGUGCUGGGCGACGGCCGACACCAGCUGCUGGUCGUGGUCGGCGACGAGAUGGAGAUCAUGAGCAACGCGGCGUUCAAGGCGCCGGUACACCGGGUGAUGGCGCCGGGGGAGGAGGCGGAGCGGGUGUCGCUGGCGGUGUUCUACCAGCCGGAGGCGGACAAGGUGCUUGAGCCGUCGCCCGAGCUGGUCGACGGGGACCGGCCGGCGAUGUACAAAAGGCUGCAGGCCAAGGUCUUCGCCGACGGCUUCUGGGACGCGUUCGCGCUCGGGGAACGCACCAUCGACUUCCUCAAGGUCAAGGUCGACGCCGCCGAUCCGCCGGCGGCGGCCGUUUCCGGCGAUUGA
This 1191-nucleotide ribosomal RNA is filed under the name Triticum aestivum (bread wheat). RNAcentral describes it as "partial small subunit ribosomal RNA". Lineage: Eukaryota; Viridiplantae; Streptophyta; Magnoliopsida; Poales; Poaceae. The record is from RNAcentral.